AACGAACGCUGGCGGCAGGCCUAACACAUGCAAGUCGAACGCCCUAGCAAUAGGGAGUGGCAGACGGGUGAGUAACGCGUGGGAACCUUCCCUAUAGUACGGAAUAGCCCAGGGAAACUUGGAGUAAUACCGUAUACGCCCGAAAGGGGAAAGAUUUAUCGCUAUAGGAUGGGCCCGCGUAGGAUUAGCUAGUUGGUGAGGUAAUGGCUCACCAAGGCGACGAUCCUUAGCUGGUCUGAGAGGAUGAUCAGCCACACUGGGACUGAGACACGGCCCAGACUCCUACGGGAGGCAGCAGUGGGGAAUAUUGGACAAUGGGCGCAAGCCUGAUCCAGCCAUGCCGCGUGAGUGACGAAGGCCUUAGGGUUGUAAAGCUCUUUUGGCGGGGACGAUAAUGACGGUACCCGCAGAAUAAGCCCGGCUAACUUCGUG
This 432-nucleotide ribosomal RNA is filed under the name uncultured bacterium. Its description in RNAcentral is "bacterial SSU rRNA". It matches the Rfam family "Bacterial small subunit ribosomal RNA", at positions 29 to 507 of the family's 1533-position model. The record is from RNAcentral.